This 1324-nucleotide long non-coding RNA is filed under the name Gossypium raimondii (Peruvian cotton). RNAcentral's name for it is "long non-coding RNA (GRAI_LNC007000)". Lineage: Eukaryota; Viridiplantae; Streptophyta; Magnoliopsida; Malvales; Malvaceae. The record is from RNAcentral.
GAAGAAUGACUUUGGGAAAAGUGCAAAGGUGAUAAUGUGAUAAGUGAUGGGAGAGGAGGGCAACAUCGUAAAUGGCUUGUGGUGAGUUUUUGAGAUGUUUCAUGAAUACAGGCUGGCGAUUUCAGAGAGACGUAGUAGCAGCUCCUCUUUUAAGUCUUUAGCCGCUUUCAAUAGCUCUUUUACUACUACUCCCACGCUCCACAAUUGACACACACGCUCUAUUGGCUGAUUUGCCUAGCGUGCAGCCGCCAGCCGUAGGCGUUUAGCAUUCAACCAGGCCAACUUUAUGAAAACUAAACUCACUUGUUCCAAGUUCCCUUUCAAAACUAAACUACAGCCACCCAAAUGCCCUUUCAAAAGUUCCAAGUUUUAUCAUAUUUCCUUUUAAUUUGCCUCUUCUAUUUGCUUGAGCUUCAAUUUUACCACCCACCUAUGAAGAGAACCAGUGGUUGUGACUUGAUGAUCUGUGACUGAUUAGAUUAAUAGAUUUAAGGAUACAAAAUUCCCUUUCCUAAUAUCUAAGGAUGUUUUCAAGGUUUUAUCCAGUUGUUUGUCUGUCUGUCAUGAUUAGAAUAUUUUGGUAUUUUCAGAAGAGCCUCGAAUCUGCUUCAGGAAUUAAUCUUGACUCUUGUAUUUUGGCUCUGACCUUCACUUCUAGAUUCCAGAUGAUAGCUACUGUGUUCCCAUUCUAGCCAUCAUCAAUGAGAUGAGCUUCGACCCUAAUGAGCCUAGGUUUGGAUGGGUUUUUUUUGUUGCUGUUGCUUGUUUUCUCUACCUAUUUGGCGGAUGUGUUGUCACAGUCUCACUUUGAUAGCGAGGGUUCAAGUUUUAGGUUGCGUUGCGCAGUGACCUUUCUCAUGUAUGUGGUUGGACCUUUGUUUUUCGUUUCUUCUAUAAAUGAAGUUUACUAAAGAAGGGUUAAUGAAUCUGAGCCGCCAACUCCAUCAAAAUGCACGGCUGUCUAAAGUACUAUUUGCAUAACCGGGGUGUGGGAGAAAAUUCCAAACAGUAUGAAGGCAAUUAUUACGUGAUGAACAUGGAGGAUACCGCCAAGUAUGAAACAAAAAACAACAGCAUCUCUGCUACACCAUAACAAGCAACUGGUGAGUCACGAGCAUAAACACAGUACCUGCAUGGCGUCACAUGUUGGGCUCACAAUUGUCCACAAAUAUUAUUUGUAUUACUAUUUUUUUAUUCUUUUCGUUGUUUGUGUUUGUUUAGGCUUUGAUGCUUUAUAUAUCAAGGAAUGAUAAAAUGGUAUAUAGAUGUCUUGAUUGUUUUGCAUGAUGGUGUGGGUUUAGAUAUUAGAUUGUCUGUUUCCAGA